GAUGAACGCUGGCGGCGUGCCUAAUACAUGCAAGUCGAACGCAUAGCGAAAGGUGCUUGCACCUUUCAAGUGAGUGGCGAACGGGUGAGUAACACGUGGGCAACCUGCCUCAAGGCUGGGGAUAACAUUUGGAAACAGAUGCUAAUACCGAAUAAAACUUAGUGUCGCAUGACACAAAGUUAAAAGGCGCUUCGGCGUCACCUAGAGAUGGAUCCGCGGUGCAUUAGUUAGUUGGUGGGGUAAAGGCCUACCAAGACAAUGAUGCAUAGCCGAGUUGAGAGACUGAUCGGCCACAUUGGGACUGAGACACGGCCCAAACUCCUACGGGAGGCUGCAGUAGGGAAUCUUCCACAGUGGGCGAAAGCCUGAUGGAGCAACGCCGCGUGUGUGAUGAAGGCUUUCGGGUCGUAAAGCACUGUUGUAUGGGAAGAACAGCUAGAAUAGGAAAUGAUUUUAGUUUGACGGUACCGUACCAGAAAGGGACGGCUAAAUACGUG
RNAcentral lists this ribosomal RNA (497 nucleotides) under uncultured bacterium. Its description in RNAcentral is "partial 16S ribosomal RNA". It matches the Rfam family "Bacterial small subunit ribosomal RNA", at positions 28 to 507 of the family's 1533-position model. The record is from RNAcentral.